Hypanus sabinus (Atlantic stingray) is the source of this 10874-nucleotide long non-coding RNA. RefSeq lists it as uncharacterized. The record is from RefSeq and is a predicted model, not a curated record. NCBI's taxonomy places the organism in Eukaryota, Metazoa, Chordata, Chondrichthyes, Myliobatiformes, Dasyatidae. The transcript has 3 exons.
CCGUAACAUACUUACAUUCAAGAUAAAACUAAAAAAAAUUACCUAUACAUGAAAGCAAUUCAUAUGGUGAACACCAAACAGAAAUACUUAUCUGUCAGUAAGAAUUACAGUCAAAUCCAUCAUCAAAAAGAAUAGCCAAAUAGGUCUAAUUUAAUCAGACACACAAUUUAGACACAAUACCAAUAUUAGGCGUAUGAUAGAACUGAAACAAUGUUUACACCAAUUUAUAUUCUAGAUUGUAAUAUUUUCACAUUAAAUAUGUAUCUUAAUAAGCCACUCACUUCCACUUAGCAGUUUUACCCCUUAGUUUAUAUACAAGUGACACUUCAUAUAUUUUAGUUAUGAAGUGCUUCUACCUUUGAAGGAUUUCUUGAAAAUACAAUGGCUAUAACAUUUCCCAUGGGAUGGGGGAAGGCAAAUAGGCUGGCAGCUUGGGAAUGGCAGGAACACAAAAGACUUGCUGAAUUUGACAGCGGGAACUUGUUAUAGCUGUUUGGAUCUGUUUCCUACUAGCAGCUGCCAAAUUGAACAAUGUCAUUUUACAAAGAAGCCUGUACUACAGAAAAAUAUAAGUGCAUUGCAAUAUGGAGUUUAGGAGAAGAUAUCAUGGGAAAAGUGAUCCUAGAAGAUGAUAAAUUCCAGAAAGAGAGAAAGUGGAAAUAUUAUAAGACCAUAAGACAUAGCAGUAGAAUUAACCAUUCAGCCCAUUAAGUCUUCUCCACCAUCCCAUCAUGGCUGAUAUAUUAUCACUCUUAACCCUAGUCUCCCGCCUCCUCUGUGACUUUUAAUGUCCUUACUAAUCAAGAGAUGUGAGAUGACAAAUUAUGAGGUGAUUUCUUGAUAUUAUGGAUGGUUGCUAGAAAUUGUCAAUUGGAGAGUUCAAGGAUGUGUCAUAUGUAGAUUAUAAUAGUGGAGGUAUGCAAAGAGGGGAGCACUCUGGAAACAAGAGCUCAAAGGAAUGUUGGGAGAUUGCCAUGCCUGUUCAUGAUUCAACGCAGAUGAAUCAUAAACAAGCUCCCAGUGGCCACACAUUUUAAUUCCACGUCCCAUUCCCAUUCUGAUAUUUCUAUCCAUGGCCUCCUCUACUGUCAAGAUGAAUCCACACUCAGGUUAGAGGAACAACACCUCAUAUACUGGCUGGGUAGCCUAGAACCUGAUGGCAUGAACAUUGACUUCUCUAACUUCCGUUAAUGCCCCUCCUCCCCUUCUUACCCCAUCCCUGACAUAUUGAUUGUUUGUUUUUCUUCCUCUCUCUCUGCCCAUCACCCUUCCUGUUCUCCAUCUCCCUCUGGUGCUUCCCCCCCCCCUUUCUUUCUUCCGAGGCCUCCCAUCCCAUGAUCCUUUCCCUUCUCCAGCUCUGUAUCACUUUCACCAAUCACCUUUCCAGCUCUUAGCUUCAUCCCACUCCCUCCGGUCUUCUCCUAUCAUUUCGCAUUUCCCCCUCCCCCCACUACUUUCAAAUCUCUUAGUAUCUCUCCUUUCAGUUAGUCCUGACAAAGGGUCUCGGCCCAAAAUGUUGACAGUGCUUCUUCUAUAGAUGCUGCCUGGCCUGCUGUGUUUCACCAGCAUUUUGUGUGUGUUGCUUCAAAAACAAUAAUCACAUCAUUCUCCGCAAUUUCUGCUAUCUUCAUCAGGAGUCUACCACCAAACACAGCUUUAUCUACCCAGCCCCCCACUCCUUGCUUUCUGCAGAGAUCGAUCCCUUGUCCAUUUGUCCCUCCGCACUUUUCCCUGCUAUCGGCAGAAGGCUGAGUCGGUGGUGAGACGGCGAAUGCAAUGUUGGCAUUCAUUUCUAGAGGAAUAGAGUAUAGGAGCAGGGAUGUGAUGUUGAGGCUCUGUAAGGCACUGAUAAGACCUCACUUGGAAUACUGUGUGCAGUUUUGGGCUCCUUAUUUAAGAAAGGAUGUGCUGACAUUGGAAAGGGUUCAGAGAAGAUUCACUAGAAUGAUUCCGGGAAUGAGAGGGUUAACAUAUGAGGAACGUUUGACCACUCUUGGACUGUACUCCUUGGAGUUUAGAAGAAUGAGGGGAGACCUCAUUGAAACAUUUCGAAUGUUGAAAGGCAUGAACAGAGUGGAUGUGGCAAAGUUGUUUCCCAUGGUGGGGGAGUCUAGUAUGAGAGGACAUGAGUUGAUGAUUGCAGGCCGCCCAUUUAGAACAGAGAUGCGAAAAAAUUAUUUUUAGCCAGAGGGUGGUGAAUCUGUGGAAUUUGUUGCACGGGCGGCAGUGGAGUCCAAGUCAUUGGGUGUAUUUAAGGCUGAGAUUGAUAGGUAUCUGAGUAGUCAGGGCAUCAAAGGUUACGGUGAGAAAGCGGGGUAAUGGGACUAAAGGGGAGAUUGGAUCAGCUCAUGAUAAAAUGGCAGAGCAGACUCGAUAGGCCAAAUGGCCAACUUCUGCUCCUUUGUCUUAUGGUCUGAGUGCUACAGCUGCCCAUUCACCUCCUCCCUCAUCUCCAUUCAGGGUCCCAAACAGUCCUUCAGGGGAGUCCCAAACACUUCACCUGCAAAUCUGUUGGUGUUGCUUGUUGUGUCCAGUGCAUUGGCGAGUCCCGACGUAGAUUGGGGGACUGUUUUGUAGAGCACCUUAACUCCAUUUGUUAAAAGUGGUAUUUCCCAGUAACCAACCAUUUCGAUCCCUGCCCCCAUUUCUGACAUGUUGGUCCCAUGGCCUCCUCUUCAGUCAUGAUGAGGCCACUCUCAGGAUGGAGGAGCGACACCUUGUAUUUUUUUCUGGGUAGCCUUCAACUGAUGGCAUGAACAUCGAUUUUUCCAACUUCCAUUAUUUUUCCUUACCCCUUCUCUCUUCUUCAUUUCCCCACUCUAACCUCUUACCUCACCCUGGUGACUUUCCUCCUUCCCUUUCUCCCAUGAUCUAUUCUCCCCUCCAAUCAGUUUCCUUCCUUUUCAGCCAUUUUCCUUUUCCACUAAUCACCUCCCAUCAUUCCCCCUCACACACCAACCUAGUCCUCCUUCUCCUUACCCAAUCUUCUAAUUCUGACAUUUUCCCCUUUCCUUUCCAAGAUCUCUGCCUGAAACAGUGAUUGUUUAUUCGUUUGCAUAGAAGAUGUCUAACCUGCUCAGUCACUCUAGUAUUGUGUGGGUAUUGCUCUGGAUUUCCAGCAUCCGCAGGAACUCUCCUUCAUUAACUAAAAUUUUCCUGAUAGGUGAGGCAGAUCCUCUUUCUCCUAGAAGACUCCAAUUGUACACUCCUUUCAAGGACUCUACAAAUUCAUGUUCCCGGCAUUAUAUUUUUAUUCUUAUUUUGCCUUUGUUUUACUUGCACAGACUCUCUUCUUUUGUACAUGGUGGUUUGCCGCUUUUUGUUAGUGUCGUUUUUCAUUGAUUCUAUUGUAUUUCUUGAUCUACUGUGAGUGCCAGCAAGAAAAUAAAUCUCAGGAUAGAACAUGGUAACAUUCACAUACUUUGAUAAUAGAUUUACUUUGAACUUUGAAGUUGGCUGGCUUUUUUGAUUCUGGAACUUUUGCCGAAUUCCAGUAAAUUCAAACUCAUGAUAAAACCUGUGCGCUCACAGUCAGGGAAGGAGCCAACGAUCACAGGUGUUUUGUGGCAGAGGGAUGGAUCAAAGAAUAAUGACUUGGAGGGAAAAGAUUGUGAAACAUUGAUUGCGGGAGAUAUUGUGGAAGAGAAAUCAAAGAAAAAAGAUAAAGAUGAAAGAAAUGUCUAAAAAUAAUUGGGUGUCGAUUUUGGGGUAAAAUAUAGGCAAAGGAAUUUCUGAAAAUAGUCAUUUAUCUAUGAUAUAUAAUAAUAUUUUAAUACUUUUAAUUAACUUAUUUGUGGUAAUAAUCUACUUUAUUUGCUGUGUGUUAUAUAUGAAUCAUGGGUGCAUAGUGGCCUAGAGGAACAUUGUUUGAUGACAGUAAACUUGACUUGACAACAUGAUCAUUUAAAUAUCCUUGACCCUCAUAUAAAAUGUCAAUCCCCAAACCUGCCCUAUUUAAAUUGGAAGCAGAUGCACUCAUGUCAAAAUUUAUGCAAAAAUAUACUUCUGAUGCUUCAUACAUGCCCAAUUUGGUAGGCACCAAAUUACCCCAAAAUCAAUCAUUCUCAAUUUAAUUACAAUACCUAAUUGUUUUCAUUUUUCUGCAUUUAAAAUGAGAACUUUAAGAUAAAUGAAUAAGAAGCAAGAAUAAGCUAUUUAGCCCCUCAGGUAUGCUUCACAAUUCAACAUGACCAGUUUACUGUCCCAUUCACAGUAAAUUCUCUGCUAUCCAGAAAUCCAGCAAUUCAUAUUUUGAUUGCAACCUACAAAUGAGGCACCACAGACCUCUAAACAUACAGCAACAUGUGACUGAGGAAAUUCCUCCUCAUUUCUAUUCUAAGAGGCCUGCUCCCUAUUUUGCAACUCCAUAGCCAUGGGAAAUAUCUUUCAAAUAUCAAAGCUUUGUAUGUUGCCACUCAUUCUUCUAAAUUCUAGGAAACAGAUGCUCGGACUCCUCAGUCACUUCUCAGGUAACAGUUCCACCAUCUCCAAAACCAACCUGGUUGCAUUGCCUCUAUAGUAAGUGCAUCCUUCCUAAGGAAAGGAGGCCAAAAUUCUUGAUAAUAAUCCAGAUGAAGCUCUCUGUUUAAUAGCUCUAAAUGGAAUGAUUCCACUUUGUUCUAAAAAAAUCUUACAUUACUGGGCUUUAGGCAAAGGUACAAAAAAAAAUUGGAUUGAAGUAGACAUGCUCACUGGAAUCAAGGGAAUGGUAUUAGUCUUCAGCUAUGAAAACUUUCAAAAGCAGAUAAUUUUUAUUCUCCUCCUAAAAAACCCAUGUAUGGAUCUGAAAUAUUUGAGUAAAAUAACCUUCUUCCACUUACACUACAGCAAUGAAAAAUAAUAGAAAAAGCAAUUUUUAAUAUGCAUCACAUUUAUAUUUGCUAGUAACUCAGUUAGAAUGAGUAUCUUGUGCUUAGAGUGGAAAGGGAGAAGGUUACAGGCUUAUGAUUCUGAUAUAUAACAAUUCAGACAUUAUUAACAAAUCCUUUUCCUGCAUAUUUUUAUCUAUUUACAGAUGCAGUGCAGAACAAGUCCUCCCAGCCCAGCAACCCACUGAUUUAACACUAGCCUAAUCACAGGACAGUUUACAAUGACCAACUAACCUACUAACUCGUAACUCUUUGGACACUGGAAUACACAGAGGAAACCCGUACAAUUCACUGGGAGAACUUACAGAAUUGAACUCCAAACUCUGCCACACCCUGAGCUGUAAUAUCUUCACACUAACUGCUAAGCUCCCAUGUGCCCUUGGGUUUUCCUACUGACAAAAGUAUUUUUAAUCUUGAUACUGCUAUUUAGGCUGUUUAACAUAGCUGUCAUACAACUGUUCUCUAUCUGGAAUAGAUAAAUGACUUGGAAGAAAUAUUGGAAGGCAUCCCAAUACAUUUGCUGCAGUAUAAACUCGACCAUAGAUUAAGAUAAAAUCUAGAUCAAUUAAUAUAUCUAAUACCGUGAACACUCAUUCUAAUGCUUACACUGAUUCAAUUUGAAUUCAUUUGAAUCAGUGAAAUCCUGAAGACUUAAAGUCAGACUUGUAUUAUUUGAUUAUACUUUUUAAUGGUUUAAUUGCAAAAUUGCUCUUUCUGGGAAGAAUGUCAUUGAAUUAGGGCAAUGGAAACUUUAAACAAUUCAUGAGUGGAAGGCUAGCAAUAUGGAAUAAGGGAGCAGAGUUACAAGGUUGCUGUAAAAUAAGUUUAAAACACAUUUCAACAGGAAGCAACAUUUUUGAAUUGUGUGCGAAUAAUGUGUUGAUCCCUGAUCAUCUCUAAACAACAAUGAAAACUGCAGGUGCUAAAAACAGGAAGUGAGAACAAGGCUGGAAAUAGUCCAUUUGUCAAGAAGAUAGAAAUAGUUAAUAUUCUGAUGAAAAGUCAAGAACCUGAAAUAUUAUCUCUCUUUAUUUAUAUGCAGCCUGGCCUGCUGAAUAUUUCUAGUAUUUUCUGUUUAUAAUUUCAUGACCAUGUCACUGAGACUUACCUUCAUUAAAUCCUUCUUGUACAACAGCGUCAGUUCCUCCUGAAGCUGGGCUCUUUGGACAGAAUUUCUGAAGAUCCUCCUGACCGCUCUCAAUAUUAUGAUACACCCACUGAAUGGAGUCUUGCUACAUGGCCAAAACAGAAAUUAUAGAGAUAAAAUUAAUUUGAUCAUCACUAUUUCACACAACAUGACUCAUCCACUGUUAUUAAAAAGGGUUCUUUGAAGACCCUGACCUGGAGUUACACGCUGACUUCGGUUGUUUGCAGGAAUGGGACCCACUCUCGGGGUUUCACGAUUGGCCAUUAUUCGAUAUGCCAAGGAUGCAGCCUAGGAGAUUAGCUUGACUUUGGAGUUGCGGGAUCUCGUGGCUCUGGAAACAGGUGGACUGAAGGUCGGUGCCUCUGCCGGAAUUCAGUGUGUCGUGCGAGACGGAAGAUUGAAAGCAGUGAGCUGGCUGCUGGCUGUGUGCCAGAGGCCCGUUCUUUGGGCACAGAGCUCGAAAAAAGCAACGCAAUGGACUUUUAACAUCACAGAGCAGCGUGUUGUUUGUUAUGUCUCCCACCUCUCUGUGAAAAAGGGACAUCUCUUUUUCCCUUAAUAGGAAGAAAGAGAGAGAGAGCCUGUGAAGCUGAAAACAUACUUCAAGGAGUACAACUAUCAUCCAACUCAUAUCUGCAGUGUUUGAAAGGGUACUCACAGCCAGAAUCAGCUUCAGCCUAAACAAGAACCUGGACCAAUUGGCUCUCCAUUCAGCCUUGGAUUACAUGGACAAUAGCAAUACCUACAUCAGGCUGUUUUUUAUUGAUUAUAGCCAGCAUUCAACACCAUCAUACUCUCAGUUCUAGUCAACAAGCUCCAAAACCUGGAUCUCUGUACCUCCCUUUGCAACUGGAUCCUUGACUUUCUCACCGGGAGAGCACAGUCAAAUUGUAAAUAACAUCUUCUCCUUACCAACAAUCAACACUGACACACUUCAGGGAUGUGUGCUUAGCCCACUGCUCUACUCUCUCUACAAACACGAAAAUGUAGCUAGGUACAGCUCAAACACCAUCUAUAAAUUUGUUGACGGCACAACUAUUGCUGGCAGAACUUCAUAUGGUGACGUGAAGACGUACAGGAGCCAGGUAAAUCAGCUGGUUGAGAGGUGUCACAACAACAACCUUGCACUCAAUGUCAGUAAGACCUGGGAAUUGAUCAUGGACUCCAAGAAGGGGAAAUUGAGGGAAUACACACCAGUCCUUAUCAAGGGAUCCACAGUGGAAAGGUGAGCAGUUUCAAGUUCCAGGCUGUCAACAUCUUUGAAGAUCUAUCCUGGGUCCAAAAUAUUGAUACAACUACAAAGAAGGGGCAACAGGGGCUAUGUUUCAUUAGGAGCUGAGGAGACUGGGUAUGUAACCAAAGACUCAUGAAAAUUUCAACAAGUGUACCAUGUAGAAAAUCCUAACUGGUUGCAUCACUGUCUGGUAUGGAGGGGCCACUGCACAAGAUCAGAAAAAAGCUGCAGAAAGUUCUAAACACAGCCAGCUCUAUCAUGGACACUGGCCUCCCCAGCAUCAUGGACACUUUCAAAAGACAAUGCCUCAAGAAAGAGCCAUCCAUUAUUAAGGACCCCCAUCACCCAGAACAUGCCCUCUUCUCAUUGUUACCAUCAGGGAAGAGGUACAGGAGCUGAAGACACACGCUGAAAGUUACAGAAACAGCUUCUUCCCCUCUGCCAUCAGAUUUCUGAAAUGACAAUGAACCUAUGAACACUAACCCAUUAUUUUUUUGCUCUCUAUUUGCACUGCUUAAUUUUAUAUAUAUUUUUUUCUUAUUGUAAUUUAUUGUUUUUAGAAUUAUUAUGUAUUGCGAUGUACUGCUGCCACAAAACACUAAAUUUCCUGACAGUUGAGGACAGAUGAUCAAAAUGGGAUUGGGGUGAUCAGUUAAAUGAUUCCUUUUAAAGCCAUACUAGAGUUGUGUCUGACUAGGUAUUGCAAUAGAUGGAGAAGAACUAUUUUGCUUCCUUGAGUGGAUGCCAAGAUUACAUUUAACUUUAUAAAUAUAUACAGCAAUACAGCAUAAGCUUGUUGGGCCAUCAUAGUUAGGACUAUCCAGCUCUUUAGCAGCAAACCACAUGUGUCUAUUUGCUUUUACAGAGAAACAGGCAACAGAUCAAAGAGAAUAGUAGGUGAUUUUAAAGUGGUAAACCCAAUGCAUUACCAUUUUAUUAUCGAGUACCUCAUUUAUUCUGACUUGGAUUUUCUAAAUGAUGCAAAUACAGGGGCAAUACAAAACAGGACAUCAUUGCAAGGCUUUGGAUUUAAAAAGAAAAAUCAAAACUAUGGCAAUUAUGGUAAGAAAGAACUUCAGCCAAAUAAAGGAGCACCUUAGUAAAAUUGACAGGUGGAUGUGUUAGUGCAACGCUUAUUCACGUGUAGCUACAUGAAUAUUUUUAAUCUGAAACUUUGAGGCAUGUGGAAUAAACACAAAUCUCGUGCGAUUUUAAAUGAAUUAACCAAUUAAUCAAAAAUGUGGAGGAAGAACAAAAAUUCUACAAUUUUGCUUGGAAGUUGGAAUCAAUAUAGAAUUAUUCUAAAACUGCUGAAAGGAUGAUUUCAGAAAUACACAGAAAACCCAGAGAAAGUAUAAUUGAAGAUACGAACACGAUUUUGUGUGUGUUGCUUUAGAUUUCCUGCAGGUGUUCUUGUGUUUAAGACAUCUUCCAAUGCAAUUUGUAGACCACAUCUUAACUACUGUUUGGGGUCUGUAUACAACUUUUGCAGUUCCUUAGCUCUAUCCACAAUGAUUCAACACCUUCCGACCCUAUGUCACCCUCUUUCUAAUGAUUUAAUAUCUUUUUUUUGCCAAUAGAGCCACACCACCCCUUCUGCCUACCUGCCUGUCCUUUUGAUAGAAUGAAUAUCCUUGGAUGUUAAGCUCUCAGCUUAACAUUCUUUCAGCCACAACUUAGUGAUCCCCACAAUGUUAUACAUGCCAAUCUGUAACUGCACUGCAAAUUCAACCACCUUAUUCCAUAUUCUGCAUGCAUUCAAACGUAAGACCUUCAGUCCUGUAUUCACCCCUUUCGAUUCAGUCCACCUUAUACGUUGCAACUCUAUUCCUUUAAUACGCACAGACAGAACCACAUGGAUUUUUAAAAUGGUCUUAUCUGUUUUCUGUCAGCCUCAAAGGAUUGUGUAAGUGCAGCUUCUUGUCUUUAGGUACUUGCUCCCUUUUAGGAUUUAGUUUACAAUAUUAGGCUGUAGUCAGUUAAGUAAUUCACUGAGUGUCUGACUUAUCACCAGACAUAGGUACACGGGAAAGGUGAGAUCCUGAAGAAAAAUAGUACUGGGCCUCAAGGGAGGAGAGUGGAGAAGUGGGGUUAAUUGAAUAAUUCAGUAUGGGUAUCAAAAACCUUGGCAAUCUUCUAUAGAUUUGUGGUGGAAAGUGCGCUGACCGGUUGCAUUACAGCCUGGUACGGGAACGCUAAUUCGUUUGAGUGGAAAAUCCACAAAAGGUAGUGGAUUCAGCCCAGUACUUCAUGGGUAAAGCCCUCCCAACCAUUGAGCAUAUAUACAUGAAACAUUGCCAUAGAAAAGCAGCAUCCAUCAUCAAAGAUCCUCACCACCCAGGCCGUGCUCUUUUCUCACUGCUGCCAACAGGUGGAAGGUAUAAGUGCUUCAGGACUCGUACCACAAGGAUCAAGAACAGUUACUACCCCACAACCAUCGGGCUCUUGAUCAAAAGAGGAUAACUACACUCAUUCUAUUUCUGGUGUUCCCACAACCAAUGGUCUCACUUUAAGGACUAGAUCUUGUGAUUUCAUGCUCUUUCUUUUCAAGUUCUUUCAUGCUCAUUUUUUAUUGCUAUUUCUUUAUAUUUGCAUUUGCCUAAUUUGUUGUUCAUUGAUUCUGUUUACAGUUUCUGUUCUUUGAACACAGUAACAUUAAACUGAACAGCCUCCUUUUGUGCUGUAUCAUUAUGUGAAACUAUGAUCAGGCAAGUGAUUUAUUGGUGGUGUGUGUCAGAGUGAUUUUUGAGUUUAGGGCAUUUAGCAAUUGACUUUGUCUACCAGUUUUCACAUCUGAAAGUAGUACUGGGGAUUCAAUUUAGAGUACAGCUCUGAACAAUGGGUUCCUAAAAGUUGUGAAUCCCAUUCCAGACAAUGCUGAUUAAAAUUCAUUUGGAUGUCAGUGGUGUGGUUUGAAUCAGGAGAUGUGAUGUUUGUGUGGAGUUUCAAAGAAAACAUUGUCCAUACAUUGUAAAUAUGGAGUUGUCCUUUGAUCUUUAGCGUAUAAAAUAUUGAGCCCAAUGUUGGGCCAGAGGGACCAUUCAACUGAAAGCGUCUCCAUUUGAUGCCUGCUGUCCUUGUUUUAAAUAAAGAAGCUGUUUUGUAUCUACCAGUAAUUUUUUCUGGUGACUUCAUUCAUGCAACAGCAGUGUGGAUCUGGUGUUUUUAUUAACUCUGGGAAUGUUUUACAUUGAUUGCGAUGUACAGUAAGUCAUGUGAUGUAAUGAAUAUCAGAAUUUGUUACAGGAUGUCAUGGAACAUCAAAUCACUUGCCCCAAAUUUUUUAUGUUGUUGAGACCUUUACAGUUGUUCUUUUUUCCCUAAUUGAUUAUGCACAAAUGAAAAUAGCUUUGAUCUCAGAUCCAGAUUUAAAUACUGAAGAUUUAAUGUGUACUUCUUGAAAUGCCAGGUUUUAAAUCCUCAAUCCUCAAACUCCAGGUAGAGAACUCCCUCUUCCUUAAUCCAUCUCAGACUUCUCAUUUGGUAGCAAUCUUCCCUUCAAGCCAAAAUAUUCCAUGUUGAAAGGUUUGAAUUCAAAUCUGUCUGGUUGAAGAAUAUUUUCAGAAUUUUGUUCUUAAUUAAAUUGUGCCCCUUUACUUUCAUGUCUUCUCUGUGGUUUUUUUUU